GGGCACAUGGUCUAGGGGUAUGAUUUUCGCUUCGCAUGGUGGACUUAACCUGAAAUGCAAAUGUGAAAGGUCCGGGGUUCAAAUCCCCGUGUGUCCA
Molecule: transfer RNA, 97 nt
Organism: Xylona heveae TC161
Lineage: Eukaryota; Fungi; Ascomycota; Xylonomycetes; Xylonales; Xylonaceae
Rfam family: tRNA
About the family: Transfer RNA (tRNA) molecules are approximately 80 nucleotides in length. Their secondary structure includes four short double-helical elements and three loops (D, anti-codon, and T loops).
Source: Rfam